This 2896-nucleotide long non-coding RNA is filed under the name Marmota monax (woodchuck). Lineage: Eukaryota; Metazoa; Chordata; Mammalia; Rodentia; Sciuridae. The record is from RNAcentral.
GUUAGUCUGUGUUAAUGAUGACUAACGUGAUAAAGGCAAAAAAAUCUGAUGGCUGGCAGCAGCAGGCCCUAUUGGAAAUUUGUUUUGUUUGGUUGAUGGUUCUAGUUCUAUUCUGAGCUGGUUAAUUUGGAUAUCUUUUGUUUCAGAAGGCUAGUCAGAACUUUGGUUGCUAGCAUAUGAUCUUUUUCUCCUUCCACUCCAAUAUUUAAAUAUGCCUUUUUGCUUUUUAUCUUUCUUCUGAUCUUUGCAGUCUUGCCCCUUUCAAUCCAAAACACAAGUCCUCCAGUUAGCUCAGAAGGGAGCAAUAACUUUUUGGAUGAUUAUGGUACCUCAACUUAAAUGGGAAACAUUUAAUAUUCCUAAAUUGAUUUUCUUGCACAUUAAUCUAAAGUCCUUGGGAAAUAUAACAAAAGGAUAAAAUAUGUAUAAAUUCUGACCGGCCAUAUCUAAAUUUUGAUGCAGUGGGAAGUGUUUCAGAAUUUAAAGGAAGCUCCUUCUAAAAUGACUGAAGCCUAUGAUAAAUUAGAACAUAAAGAAGGAGCUUUGUAAAGCUCCAAGGAGGCUUUCUCAGAUAGGGUGGGCAUAGAAAGUGUUCUUUUACCUACUCAGUAAGGUCUACAUCUGAUUAGAAAGCAAAUUAGGUCAGAAGCACUUAUCAACUAGACAGUUCUCCAAAAUAAGUGUUUCCUAACUCUUUUCAAAAAAGUUUCCAUUUGUAAGAGUAUCUCCCUCUAUUGAUUAACUCUUAAAAUAGGAAAAAGUUUUAAAGGUUUGCAAUACGCCACAGUAACUUUUUGCCACUUUUUCCACAUACACACCAAAAAAGGAAAUUAAGAGCUCUCAGAACCUUUCUGUUUGGUUCAUGUUUCAGAUGUGAUGUUUUUAUUUUAAUUGAUCUUCAAAUAGACUCAGGAAUAUGAGAACUUUGUUUUCUUAUAGUCCUGAAUAGGAUGAUAUUUAAUGGGGGCAAAGAUUAGCUGCAAAUGUAAAACACUUAAGAUUUGUCAAAAGGCCAGCCUCAGUUGGGGCAGUGGUGCCCAGCAACUCAGAAGGCUGAGGCAGGAGGAUCACAAGUUUAAGGCCAGCCUCAGCAACUUAGCAAGACACUCUCUCAAAAUCUUUUAAAAGUGAAAAGAGCUGAGGUGAAACACAUAACUCAGUGGUGAAACACCCCCUGCAAUCCCCAGUACCAUUAGUUAAUUAAUUAAUUUAAAAGGCCAGUCUCACCCAGGAUAAGGCUCUGCCUCUUGCCCUGCUUCAAUGUAGAUGGCCCCCAAGGUAGACUAAAAAUAAACCCACUUAAAGUUCUGUUGAAUGAUAAGUUUUUGUCAUAAAUACUACUGCAAUCCCAAAAUAGAGAGGUAGUAUAAAACUAAGUAAGUACUUGGGUAAGUUGAAAAGCUAUUUAAAGGAUAUGAAAGAGUUUUUAAAAGAAAUAGAAUUGCUGGGCCUGGGGGUUCAUGCUUGUAAUCCUAGUGACUCAGAAGACUGACUGGAUCACAAAUUCAAGGCCAGGUGGGGCUCGGUAAUACACACCUGUAAUCCCAGCAGCUCCGGAGGCUAAGACAGGAGGAUUGCAAGUUUGGGGACAGCCUCAGCAAUUUAGCAAGGCCCUAAGCAAUCUAGCAAGAUACUGUCUCAAAAUAAAAAGGGGAUGUGGCUCAGUGGCUAAGUCCCACUGGGUUUAAUCUCUAGAGGUACUAAAAGAAAAACAAGUUCAAGGCCAGCCUAGACAACUUAGAGGCUUAAACAGAUAUCAAAGGUGUUACUAUAAAAAGAAAAUCAAAGGUACAUUAGUGUUACUAUAAAAAGAAAAGUUUUGGGUUCAGAAUUAUACACAAACUAAAUGUGUUCUUGCUCUUGUUAAUUUUAUUUGGUAUUUUCCUUGUAAAACUUUAUAACUAUUGCCUGUUAGUGUUUUACAGAAGUACAACUUCUAACAGAAUAGCCUGAGUUAAUUUGAGACAAUAAGUCUUCACCCACAGGACAGAUAGGAUAUAACACUGACUCCAUUAACCACCCCAUAUGGUAACUUCAUACUGACUCCAGUUAUAUCAAAGGGGUAACUAUAAAAUUACAAAAGUUAAUGUUAUGACACAUUAUUCCCUCUUCAGGACUGGGAAACUGGCCCUGUGGGUGUUCAAUCACAGAGACUUGGAGACCAAAGCCAAGGAAGAUAAAAGGGCAGCCAGUAUUUUGGCCCCUGCCAUCCAAAGGCAGCCAAAACCAAGGCCAGGAUGGGAUACCAAUAAAAGGGUUCUGAAAAACCAGCCUCUACCUCAGAGCAAAGCCUGUCCAAGGAAGGGGGCGUGACCCUUGUCCUUGGAAAGACCCACAGAGCACUCCUAGGCACAUACCCACCCUGCUGAGUUGUUUAUCUACAAAUAACAGGAGAGAUCUGCGGAGCCAGGUGUCCCUGACUCAGUCAGGCUAGGUGAGGACCCAUAGCAACCCCCUAACAACCACCAAUCAGCAUGAGUUAGGGAAAAUACCUGGGAUGCCAGAUGAGCCUCCCAGUAGUUUAUGGUGGUUGAUAACAUGUUGGGAAACCGUGUAGUUCAGCACAUACUCCCCUCGUACUCCCUCGUGGUUUAAACCAAUCAGUUCAAACAAAUCCCUCUCUUUUACUAACCAAUCACCCUUACCCAACUUGUUCCCACCAGUGAAUGUGCUAAUCAUGUUUUAGAGUUGUUUUAUGAUUUUCCUGCGGUGUGUGAUGAUUUGCUAAGAGAUGCUAUGAUGUAUGUGAAGUCCCUGCCUUCCCCAGAGUCUAUAAAACUGCUGCAAACCCUGGGCUCGGGACCUCUCAGCGUCACCAGUUGCUGUGUGAGCACGGAGGACCAAGCUAGUUCACAAUAAACACCUCUUUGCUGCUUAUAUUGAUCUUGGUCUCUGG